Molecule: long non-coding RNA, 229 nt
Organism: Haliotis rubra (blacklip abalone)
Lineage: Eukaryota; Metazoa; Mollusca; Gastropoda; Lepetellida; Haliotidae
Exons: 3
Source: RefSeq, a predicted model, not a curated record
CAGGUAAAUUGGUUGAACACAUUUAGGCACAGUGUGCAUACCAGGUAAAUCAGAUGAACACAUUUAGGCACAGUGUGCAUACCAGGUAAAUCGGAUGAACACAUUUAGGCACAGUGUGCAUACCAGGUAAAUCGGAUGAACACAUUUAGGCACAGUGUGCAUACCAGGUAAAUCGGAUGAACACAUUUAGGCACAGUGUGCAUACCAGGUAAAUCAGAUGAACACAUUU